UACGAAGGGGGCUAGCGUUGCUCGGAAUCACUGGGCGUAAAGCGCACGUAGGCGGGGCUUUAAGUCAGGGGUGAAAUCCUGGAGCUCAACUCCAGAACUGCCUUUGAUACUGAAGAUCUCGAGUUCGGGAGAGGUGAGUGGAACUGCGAGUGUAGAGGUGAAAUUCGUAGAUAUUCGCAAGAACACCAGUGGCGAAGGCGGCUCACUGGCCCGGUACUGACGCUGAGGUGCGAAAGCGUGGGGAGCAAACAGG
This 253-nucleotide ribosomal RNA is filed under the name uncultured bacterium. RNAcentral's name for it is "partial 16S ribosomal RNA". It matches the Rfam family "Bacterial small subunit ribosomal RNA", at positions 524 to 776 of the family's 1533-position model. The record is from RNAcentral.